This 846-nucleotide ribosomal RNA is filed under the name uncultured eukaryote. Its description in RNAcentral is "eukaryotic LSU rRNA". The stretch from base 409 to 562 matches the Rfam family "5.8S ribosomal RNA". The record is from RNAcentral.
UGUAACCAAGGUUUCCCGUAGGUGAACCUGCCGAAAGGAUCAUUAAAGAAAAUUUAAUAAUUUUGAAAAUGGAUUUUUUUGUUUGGCAAAGAGCAUGAGAGCUUUUACUGGGCAAGAAGACAAGAGAUGGAGAGUCCAGCCGGGCCUGCGCUUAAGUGCGCGGUCUUGCUAGGCUUGUAAGUUUCUUUCUUGCUAUUCCAAACGGUGAGAGAUUUCUGUGCUUUUGUUAUAGGACAAUUAAAACCGUUUCAAUACAACACACUGUGGAGUUUUCAUAUCUUUGCAACUUUUUCUUUGGGCAUUCGAGCAAUCGGGGCCCAGAGGUAACAAACACAAACAAUUUUAUCUAUUCAUUAAAUUUUUGUCAAAAACAAGAAUUUUCGUAACUGGAAAUUUUAAAAUAUUAAAAACUUUCAACAACGGAUCUCUUGGUUCUCGCAUCGAUGAAGAACGCAGCGAAAUGCGAUACGUAAUGUGAAUUGCAGAAUUCCGUGAAUCAUCGAAUCUUUGAACGCACAUUGCGCCCCUUGGUAUUCCAGGGGGCAUGCCUGUUUGAGCGUCAUUUCCUUCUCAAACAUUCUGUUUGGUAGUGAGUGAUACUCUUUGGAGUUAACUUGAAAUUGCUGGCCUUUUCAUUGGAUGUUUUUCUUCCAAAGAGAGGUUUCUCUGCGUGCUUGAGGUAUAAUGCAAGUACGGUCGUUUUAGGUUUUACCAACUGCGGCUAAUCUUUUUUUAUACUGAGCGUAUUGGAACGUUAUCGAUAAGAAGGGAGCGUCUAGGCGAACAAUGUUCUUAAAGUUUGACCUCAAAUCAGGUAGGAGUACCCGCUGAACUUAAGCAUAUCAA